GUGGGGGAUAUUGCACAAUGGGGGAAACCCUGAUGCAGCGACGCCGCGUGAAGGAAGACGUACUUCGGUAUGUAAACUUCUAUCAGCAGGGAAGAAGAUGACGGUACCUGACUAAGAAGCCCCGGCUAACUACGUGCCAGCAGCCGCGGUAAUACGUAGGGGGCAAGCGUUAUCCGGAUUUACUGGGUGUAAAGGGAGCGUAGACGGUGAAGCAAGUCUGAUGUGAAAACCCGGGGCUCAACGCCGGGAUUGCAUUGGAAACUGUUUUACUUGAGUGCUGGAGGGGCAAGCGGAAUUCCUGGUGUAGCGGUGAAAUGCGUAGAUAUCAGGAAGAACACCGGUGGCGAAGGCGGCUUGCUGGACAGUAACUGACGUUGAGGCUCGAAAGCGUGGGGAGCAAACAGGAUUAGAUACCCCUGUAGUCC
RNAcentral lists this ribosomal RNA (425 nucleotides) under uncultured bacterium. RNAcentral's name for it is "partial 16S ribosomal RNA". It matches the Rfam family "Bacterial small subunit ribosomal RNA", at positions 354 to 796 of the family's 1533-position model. The record is from RNAcentral.